RNAcentral lists this ribosomal RNA (252 nucleotides) under uncultured bacterium. RNAcentral's name for it is "partial 16S ribosomal RNA". It matches the Rfam family "Bacterial small subunit ribosomal RNA", at positions 524 to 776 of the family's 1533-position model. The record is from RNAcentral.
UACGCAGGUGGCGGGCGUUGUCCGGAAUUACUGGGUGUAAAGGGAGCGUAGGCGGGACUUUAAGUUGGAUGUGAAAUACCGCAGCUUAACUGCGGGGCUGCAUCCAAAACUGAGGUUCUUGAGUGAAGUAGAGGCAGGCGGAAUUCCUAGUGUAGCGGUGAAUGCGUAGAUAUUAGGAGGAACACCAGUGGCGAAGGCGGCCUGCUGGGCUUUAACUGACGCUGAGGCUCGAAAGCGUGGGGAGCAAACAGG